UGGGGAAUAUUGGACAAUGGACCACAAGUCUGAUCCAGCAAUUCUGUGUGCACGAUGACGUUUUUCGGAAUGUAAAGUGCUUUCAGUCGGGAAGAAGUCAGUGACGGUACCGACAGAAGAAGCGACGGCUAAAUACGUGCCAGCAGCCGCGGUAAUACGUAUGUCGCAAGCGUUAUCCGGAUUUAUUGGGCGUAAAGCGCGUCUAGGCGGCAAGGAAAGUCUGAUGUGAAAAUGCGGAGCUCAACUCCGUAUGGCGUUGGAAACUGCCUUACUAGAGUACUGGAGAGGUAGGCGGAACUACAAGUGUAGAGGUGAAAUUCGUAGAUAUUUGUAGGAAUGCCGAUGGGGAAGCCAGCCUACUGGACAGAUACUGACGCUAAAGCGCGAAAGCGUGGGUAGCAAACAGG
RNAcentral lists this ribosomal RNA (407 nucleotides) under uncultured bacterium. RNAcentral's name for it is "bacterial SSU rRNA". It matches the Rfam family "Bacterial small subunit ribosomal RNA", at positions 355 to 776 of the family's 1533-position model. The record is from RNAcentral. RNAcentral also lists the same sequence under 1 other name.